This is a small nuclear RNA of Nycticebus coucang (slow loris), 105 nucleotides long. NCBI's taxonomy places the organism in Eukaryota, Metazoa, Chordata, Mammalia, Primates, Lorisidae. The record is from RefSeq and is a predicted model, not a curated record.
GUGCUUGCUUUGGCAGCCCUUAUACUAAAAUUGGAAUGAUACAGAGAAGAUUAUCACAGCCACGGCUCAAGGAUGACAUAAAUAUGCGAAGCAUGCCAUAAAAAA